AUAAAAUGUUACACAAGAAUACAUCACUAACCAUCAAUUCAAUCUUACAAGUUACAAUGAAAGAAACCCCUAUGAAGAGCUCCAGGAACAGCAUAAAUACAAUCCAAACUAGGGGUUUCUUUGUUUCCUCUGUUUUAGUGUUGCAGAAGUAGUAUUUCCUUCACUGUUAAUAUUACAGUGGUAGUAUUUCCUUCACGACGAUGGAACUGUUAAUUCAUAAUGUUGGUGACUGCUUGGCUUCGAGAGUUUUCUCAUAUUCUUCAAUGGACUUGAAAAGCUCCGAGAAAUUCCCCUUCCCAAACCCUCCACAUCCACCCUUCUGGUAGU
This 327-nucleotide unclassified non-coding RNA is filed under the name Hevea brasiliensis (rubber tree). Lineage: Eukaryota; Viridiplantae; Streptophyta; Magnoliopsida; Malpighiales; Euphorbiaceae. The record is from RNAcentral.